This is a non-coding RNA of Anolis sagrei ordinatus, 547 nucleotides long. The record is from RefSeq and is a predicted model, not a curated record. Lineage: Eukaryota; Metazoa; Chordata; Lepidosauria; Squamata; Anolidae.
UUUGCCCAGGCCUGCUCUAUAUACCACUGCCUCUAUAUAUACAUACACAUAGAGUGGUAUAUGGAGGGUGUCUCUCUCAGCUGUUCACUGAGGACCUCCAAAACAGGUGUUGCAAGUUAUUUCCAAACAAGCCAAGCAUUGCAAGGCAAGGUCUGCACUUUGACAAUUAAGUAGUAAGUUAUGCUGUCGAAAGCUUUCAUGGCCAGAAUCACUGGGUUGCUGUGAGGUUUCCGGGCUGUAUGGCCAUGUUCCAGAAGCAUUCUCUUCUGGAAGAUGUCUCACCCACAUCUAUGGCAGGCAUCUUCAGAGGCUGUGAGCCGUCAGCAUUAUCUCAAAACUUACCCCAGAGGGCUUCCAGAAGCAAGAUUUGGCUGCAAUAAGAGAUCAGUCCCCUGAUCCAGUUGUGCUGAUGGAAACCAUUUUCUUAGCAGAUGUACAAUAGCUAAGAUAUGGUACUGACAUUACGGUGUACAUCAGUACCUCUCAGGCUAUUGAUAUAGAAGACUGGUAAUUUUUGUUCUCUAAUGUAAUAAAGAUCAGCACUAUG